Molecule: ribosomal RNA, 231 nt
Filed under: uncultured bacterium
Lineage: Bacteria
Description: partial 16S ribosomal RNA
Rfam family: Bacterial small subunit ribosomal RNA
Source: RNAcentral
CGGGUGCGGAACACGUACAGAACCUUCCUUCGAGCGGGGAAUAGCCCAGAGAAAUUUGGAUUAAUACCCCAUAGCAUAACGGAGUGGCAUCACUCUGUUAUUAAAGAUUUAUCACUUGAAGAUGGCUGUGCGGCUGAUUAGGUAGUUGGCGGGGUAACGGCCCACCAAGCCUGCGAUCAGUAACUGGUGUGAGAGCACGACCAGUCACACGGGCACUGAGACACGGGCCCG